AGCAGCCGCGGUAAUUCCAGCUCCAAUAGCGUAUAUUAAAGUUGUUGCAGUUAAAAAGCUCGUAGUUGAAUUUCGGGAUCAAUACGUCGGUCGUGCUUCGGUACGUACUGGCGUAAUUGAUUUCUCCCUUCUGACGAACCAUGAUGUCAUUAACUUGGUGUCAUGGGAAAUCAGGACUGUUACUUUGAAAAAUUAGAGUGUUUAAAGCAGGCUCUACGCUUGAAUACAUUAGCAUGGAAUAAUGAAAUAGGACGUUCGAUCCUAUUUUGUUGGUUUUUAGGAUCAACGUAAUGAUUAAUAGGGAUAGUUGGGGGCAUUAGUAUUCAAUUGUCAGAGGUGAAAUUCUUGGAUUUAUUGAAGACUAACUACUGCGAAAGCAUUUGCCAAGGAUGUUUUCAUUAAUCAAGAACGAAAGUUAGGGG
This 422-nucleotide unclassified non-coding RNA is filed under the name uncultured Glomus. RNAcentral describes it as "SSU rRNA". It matches the Rfam family "Eukaryotic small subunit ribosomal RNA", at positions 569 to 996 of the family's 1831-position model. Lineage: Eukaryota; Fungi; Glomeromycota; Glomeromycetes; Glomerales; Glomeraceae. The record is from RNAcentral.